This 166-nucleotide small RNA is filed under the name Arabidopsis thaliana (thale cress). Its description in RNAcentral is "ATSL175050". The record is from RNAcentral. Lineage: Eukaryota; Viridiplantae; Streptophyta; Magnoliopsida; Brassicales; Brassicaceae.
ACAAAUGUGAUUGGUCUACUAAUGGAUUGCCAUGUAUAUUUUUAUUUAUCUGUAAAAGUGUGAGAGAAAAAUGUCUGCCAAUUCAUAAUUCAUUAAGGAAAUUAAGAAAAACAAAUAUAUUCGGAAACUACGCGUGUUUGUAUGUAAGCAUUAGAUUUUCUUAUGA